CCUACGGGAGGCAGCAGUGAGGAAUAUUGGACAAUGGGCGCAAGCCUGAUCCAGCCAUGCCGCGUGCAGGAAGAAGCAUCUAUGGUGUGUAAACUGCUUUUGUACAGGAAGAAACACUCCCUCGUGAGGGAGCUUGACGGUACUGUAAGAAUAAGGACCGGCUAACUCCGUGCCAGCAGCCGCGGUAAUACGGAGGGUCCGAGCGUUAUCCGGAAUCAUUGGGUUUAAAGGGUCCGUAGGCGGUUUAAUAAGUCAGUGGUGAAAUCUGGUCGCUCAACGAUCAAACGGCCAUUGAUACUGUUAGACUUGAAUUAUAAGGAAGUAACUAGAAUAUGUAGUGUAGCGGUGAAAUGCUUAGAUAUUACAUGGAAUACCAAUUGCGAAGGCAGGUUACUACUUAUGGAUUGACGCUGAUGGACGAAAGCGUGGGGAGCGAACAGGAUUAGAUACCCUGGUAGUCCACGCCGUAAACGAUGGAUACUAGCUGUUCGGAGCAAAUCUGAGUGGCUAAGCGAAAGUGAUAAGUAUCCCACCUGGGGAGUACGUUCGCAAGAAUGAAACUCAAAAUGAAAUUGACGGCUGAGAGAGCGACGACGACGACGAGGGAGGAGG
This 612-nucleotide ribosomal RNA is filed under the name uncultured bacterium. Its description in RNAcentral is "bacterial SSU rRNA". It matches the Rfam family "Bacterial small subunit ribosomal RNA", at positions 338 to 951 of the family's 1533-position model. The record is from RNAcentral.